Molecule: ribosomal RNA, 801 nt
Filed under: uncultured bacterium
Lineage: Bacteria
Description: bacterial SSU rRNA
Rfam family: Bacterial small subunit ribosomal RNA
Source: RNAcentral
AGAGUUUGAUCCUGGCUCAGAUUGAACGCUUGCGGAAUGCUUUACACAUGCAAGUCGAACGAUGAACCUUAUCUUGCUAAGGGGAUUAGUGGCGAACGGGUGAUUAAUAUAUCGGAACGUGCCUUGUAGUGGGGGAUAACUAGACAAAAGAUUAACUAAUACCGCAUACGCCCUGAGGGGGAAAGUAGGGGAUCUUCGGACCUUACGUUAUAAGAGCGGCCGAUAUCUGAUUAGCUAGUUGGGGGGGUAAUGGCCUACCAAGGCGACGAUCAGUAGCUGGUCUGAGAGGACGACCAGCCACACUGGAACUGAGACACGGUCCAGACUCCUACGGGAGGCAGCAGUGGGGAAUUUUGGACAAUGGGCGCAAGCCUGAUCCAGCCAUUCCGCGUGAGUGAAGAAGGCCUUCGGGUUGUAAAGCUCUUUCGCAAGGGAAGAAAACUUACUUUCUAAUAAAGAGUGAGGCUGACGGUACCUUGAUAAGAAGCACCGGCUAACUACGUGCCAGCAGCCGCGGUAAUACGUAGGGUGCGAGCGUUAAUCGGAGUUACUGGGCGUAAAGCGUGCGCAGGCGGUUAUGUAAGUCAGAUGUGAAAUCCCCGGGCUCAACCUGGGAAUGGCAUUUGAGACUGCAUGGCUAGAGUGUGUCAGAGGGGGGUAGAAUUCCACGUGUAGCAGUGAAAUGCGUAGAGAUGUGGAGGAAUACCGAUGGCGAAGGCAGCCCCCUGGGAUAACACUGACGCUCAUGCACGAAAGCGUGGGGAGCAAACAGGAUUAGAUACCCUGGUAGUCCACGCCCUA